UUUUUGGAUGCAUGUUAUUUUUUAAGAGAAGUUUCCUUAAAAAAACUAGAGAAGAAAGAUGUACCACUUAAAGGUCCAGAAAUUAGAUGACUAACUUCAUUUACUUCAACAAUGAGAGCUAGAGACAGGGUUGUAGUAUAUUAAACAUGAAAAAAACAAAACAAAACAAAAAAACAAACCACCAACCAAAACCCAAAUCUAGCCUAGAAUUCUAUAUCAAAGUAUUUUUCAAGAAUGAAGACAAAGUUUUUAUAUUUUGAAUACUAUCAUUUUUAAAUAUAUAUCACUUACCACCAAGAAAUCCUUAUCAAGGUAAAUUUUAGAAGACGAAUUGAAUUUCAGGGAAAAGUAAAAUUAUCCAAAAUGGAAGGACUGGGAUGCAAAAGGGAAUGAUGAACAGAUAUAUUGGUAAGUAUGUGGGAAAAUCCAAAUAAAUAUUAACUAUAUAAAAUAGGUACAAAAAUGUUUGAUUUGUUAGAGAAAAAUAGGAUGGGAUCAAUAUAAAAUCUAGCAUAAUUGUUCAAAUUCUUGUUCAAAGUUAAAUUGAUAAUUGUUGAAGGUGGGUGAUGGACACAGGAGAAUUCAUUACACUCUUCCAUCUUCAAUAGUACAAAAUUGACUUUUAAAAAAGACACAUAAAAAAGGUAUCCCAGGAGAAUAUUAACCCAAAGUAAUUUUGUAUUGCUAUAUGCAUAUCAGAUAAAAGGGAAAAACAUGGCUAGAGGGGUAUUAUACAGAAUAAGAGCAUCAAUUCAUAUGAAAGAUGUAAAAAUUCUACUUUCUAUGCACCUAAUUGUUCAGCUUCAAAAAUAUAUGGAAAAAAAUGGAAAGAACUACUAGGAGAGAGAAAAAAUACAUCAAUCACUAUAUUGGGAAAUUUUAACACAUCUGUUUUACUAAUUGUAUCCAACACACACAUAUACACCACUGAGGAGUUAGAAAAUUUGAACACAAAGAAUAAAUUUGGCCUAAUAGUCUAAAUACUGAAAAAAAAAAAACAGACUUUUCAAGAAUAGGAACAUACUUUACAAAACUGUCACGUGUAGUGAGAUCUUGGAAAAAUUUUUAUAUAUCAGUUACAUAUACAUCAGAGGAAAGCAUGUUCAAGUAAAUUAUGCUAAGAUUGUUAUCCAUGUGACGAGAAAAAUAUUGGAUCUCUAUACUUCAUACCAUACUCAAAAAGUCCCCAUGGAUUAAUAACCCAAAUAUAAAAUGUGAAGCUUUAAACCUUUUAGAAUAUCUGUAUCAUUUCUGGAUAGAGAAGUGUAUUAUUUUUAAAAUAAUACACUAACAGCUUAAUCUACAAUAAUUUAGGACGAUGAUUCUUUGGGUAGAAGGCAAGAUAUAAAGAGAGGGAGAUGCAAUCAUACAGGUAUAAAUGAGGGCUUCAACUUUAUUGGCAAUGAUUUCUUCAUUAGCUGGUAGGCACAAGAAUAUUCAUUAUAUUAUUCUAUACUAUUCUUCAUGUCAGAAGAAUUUUACAGGGAAUUUUUUAACGUAAAACAAAUACUUGUCUACACUAUGCAAAUACACAUUAUAACAACAGUUCAAUCAUGAGAUUAAGGUGAAAUGGAUUACAUAGUAUCUAUGUAAAUGGAAAAGAAAAUAAUGAAAAAAACAAAGGAAAUCCUAGUUAGAAGGUAGAGGAAAUGGGAAUAAUUAAGAAAUCUCUUCAGAGGACCCUAGGUGGCUCAGUUGGUUAAGUAUCUGACUCUUGAUUUCUGUUCAAGUCAUGAUCUCAGGGUUACAAGAUUGAACCCCAUGCAGGUCUCUGCACUGAGUGUGGAGCCUGCUUAAGAUUCUCUCUCCCUCUCCCCUUCACCACCCACCACAUGCUCACAUGUGCUUUCUCUAAAAUAAAAUCUUUCAAAAAAAUAUUUAAAAAAGAACAUCUCUUCAGAUAUGGCGGCUAAUGAGUGGAAAUCCAGUCUUUGAGUAAUGUUUACUAGAUGUGCUUAAAAAAAAAAAAAAACUUCCACUUAAUCUGAUGUAACAUUUCAAAUUACAUAUGGUUACUACAUUGCUAUAUUACAAAUAAGACUCAGAUACUAUAAAUGGUGCAGCCAGAGUUUUCUUGGCUCCAAAGCCAGUAUUUCCUUCCAUUAUAUGUUGGCAUUAACAGAAAUGGCCCAGUUGGGAAGCAAGCACACAUGCACAUAUAUGCAUGAUCAUCAAAUAGUCUUUUUUUAAAAAAGAUUUUAUUUAUUUAUUCAUGAGAGACACAGAGUGAGAGGCAGAGACAUAGGCAGAGGGAGAAGCAGACUCCCUGCAAGAAGCCUGAUGCGGGACUUGAUCUGGGUACCAGGAUCACACCCAGAACUGAAGGCAGAUGCUCAACCACUAAGCUACCCAGGUGUCUCCAUCAAAUGGUCUUUAAAAGAUGUUUGCAAGGGUGCCUGGUUAAGGAUUGACUCUUGUUUUCAACUCAGGUCAUGAUCUCAGGGUGGUGAGAUGGAGCUGCCUCAGGCUCCAUGCUGAGUGCUUGUGGAGCCUGCUUGGGAUUCUCUCUCCCUCUGCCCUUCCCAUGCAUUCUCCUCUCUCUCUCUAAAAAUAAAAAAAAAUAAAAGAUGUUUGCAUACAACAAAAAUUACAGGUCUUUGAGCACAGUAGUGUUAGUUGCCUCACCGGGAUCUAAUUACAGAACCAGCCUCAACCAAAUAUUCACAAGACUUUGGAGGUUAUUCAACCCAGCAUAGUCCUGCAGAAAAAAAAAAAAAAAAAAAAAAAAAAAA
This 2732-nucleotide long non-coding RNA is filed under the name Canis lupus familiaris (dog). RNAcentral describes it as "lncRNA (ENSCAFG00000051553.1)". Lineage: Eukaryota; Metazoa; Chordata; Mammalia; Carnivora; Canidae. The record is from RNAcentral.